Molecule: ribosomal RNA, 422 nt
Filed under: uncultured bacterium
Lineage: Bacteria
Description: bacterial SSU rRNA
Rfam family: Bacterial small subunit ribosomal RNA
Source: RNAcentral
UGAGGAAUAUUGGGCAAUGCCCGCAAGGGUGACCCAGCAACGCCGCGUGGAGGAUGAAUGUCGUAAGAUUGUAAACUCCUGUUAGAGGGGAAGAAUAGUACCGGUUGGACCGGUAUAUGACUGUACCCUCAGAGAAAGCCCCGGCUAACUACGUGCCAGCAGCCGCGGUAAUACGUAGGGGGCAAGCGUUGUCCGGAUUUCCUAGGUGUAAAGGGCGCGCAGGCGGGAUAAAAAGUCAGUGGUGAAAUCCUACAGCUUAACUGUAGAACUGCCUUUGAUACUUUUAUUCUUGAGUUCGGGAGAGAGAGACGGAAUUCCAGGUGUAGUGGUGAAAUACGUAGAUAUCUGGAAGAACACCAGUUGCGAAGGCGGUCUCUUGGUCCGACACUGACGCUGAGGCGCGAAAGCGUGGGGAGCAAACA